Molecule: long non-coding RNA, 1240 nt
Organism: Mustela lutreola (European mink)
Lineage: Eukaryota; Metazoa; Chordata; Mammalia; Carnivora; Mustelidae
Exons: 6
Source: RefSeq, a predicted model, not a curated record
CAUUACUUUCUAGAUUUUUUUAGAUUUCCCAGGCCCCUCCAGCUGGAACUCAUGAAAUAAACAAUUACAAACUAAAGUGGCAAUUACUGGAUAGAGCCACAAAGAAUAAAUAAGGUUUCCAGGGCGCCUGGGUGACUCGGUUGGUUGGGCAUCUGCCUCUGCUCAGGUCAUGAUCCUGGGGUCCUGGGAUUCAGCCCCGCGCCAGGAUCCCUGCUCAGCGGACUUUCUUGGGGGCCACACCUUCGCACGCUAAAAUCAGGAUGUGUACAUCGUCAUAUCUGAAAACCUCUCCCGUAGCAUUUCCCGUCCGUUCUAACUCUCACCUCCCACUCCUUCCCCUGCUACUAGUUACUAGUUCUGUGCGGUUUCUGGGCCAUUUUAGAAUUACGGAAACAGGGAGAGGGCGCGCCCGACGGAUGGAGAACCCUUAAUGAUGUUGCAAAAACGGGAGAAUAAGAACAUGACAGCUAAGACAGAAGACGUGUCCCCCUUCCUCUUUGUUUUGAACGCGGCUCUGGGAAUGACCGACAGCUGGAAGUUUGACAGGACUCUCCCACCGCGUCUUAAGAAAUUCUUUGAUCUCUCCGGUAUCUUUUAUGACAAAGGCCUUUCCUGCCAACAUGUCAGGUUUGUUCCAGAAGAUAAAGGCAGGAACACAGUCCUCUACCUCUGGCCAGCAGAUGGGAUUUAGUACAGAAGCGACCAGGAAAGCUGGAAAGCCAAGCAGGGAGCAAUGAGCUUACAUUUCUGUAAGUGGAAAGCGGAAACAAAGGAUGUGUAUACUGAAUGUCUCGGGCGAUAACCAUCAGGCUGCCGUCCACGCUGAAGAGCAAUGAUCACCGGGGGUCUGCAGACCCCCAGAGUCACGGAGAGGACAUGGAAGAAAGGGAAGGAGAGAGAGAGAGACCAAGAAAUGGAGACACAGAUCUCUUAUGUGCUAAAAACCAAGAAGAACCUCAUAACCGAUGUGUAUAUGUAUGUCUGAGCAUCAGAGGACAUGGCAUUCAGCCUCAGACCUCCAGAAUCCUGUGUGUGUGUUUGAGAAGGAUAAAUAGCCUGCAUUUGAGAGCAUGUGGUGAGACAUGAUUCCUAGCUUACUUUGUAUUUCGUAUUAAAUACAAAAAGACACCUUAAUACACUAACAGCAGAAAUUCAGUCUAUUUUGCCUUUAUGGACAUCUGUUCUCAGACUACUGGUUGUUUACCUAAUUGCUAUAAUAAAGGCUAAUUUCUACAUUAAA